UCAGAUGAAAACCCUAAACCAUCUUCCUCACGCAAAAACCAACCAUCAGACAAGUUCUCAUGCUCUGUUUAUCACAAUCGGAAGAACCCUGAAUGAAAUCUUUGACUGAAAAUCGAUAAAUUCAGACCAACCCUUCAUAGAUCAAAAAGAACGAACCCGCAGAAAUCGAACAGAACCUACAUCGAUCAUUUAAGGUUAGAUGACGGUGUGGAUGAUGAUUUGAAGUUCUAGAGGGCAGAUGAUUGUCGUUUUUAGACCCAAAUAAAUAGAGAUGAUAGUGAGAGAAGAAUCACCGGCCGGACUUCGUGGCUUUUUGUUCUCAUCUUUUGCACUGUUUCAAAUCAUUAUAACCCUAACUAGCCCCCAAACUUAUUAUAACCUUAAUUCGAUUAGCAAAACCUUCAAAUCAGUCGCCCCCAAAUUGAGUUGUCGGACCUACAACUCCAGUUUUUCAUUUGUAUAGCCUUCUUCAUUAGUAGCCCAGUUGUAAGAUCAAAAGGCGAAUUGGAGGACAAGGACAAGAAGCAUAAAAAUCACAAAGACAAAGAGAAGGAGAAAAAUGAAGAACAUAAAAAACAUAAAACAUUAUCAUCAGGAUAAGAAAAACAAGAAUGAUAAAAUCAGCUAUCAUGGCUCUGGUUUUGAGCAUUUGAAGAAACCCCAUGAAAAGAAAAGGAUGGUUGAAGAAGAUUAGGACCUUAGUGCCAUUCACAAGCACCCGAAUACCAAGUGACCAGUGUUGCUGAAGUGUUUUCGAGAAUUGAUCACAAGUUUGAUUUGAUGUAUGCGAAGAGGGCGUUUGUACAUUGGUAUGUUGGUGAGGGUAUAGAGGAAGGGUAGUUCUCGGAGGCGAGAGAGUAUUUGGCUCCUUUUGAGAAGGAUUAUGAAGAGGCCGGGCUCGAUUCUGCUAAUAACGAGGAAGACAUUGGUGAAGAGUAAUAGUUUGAUUAGCAUUAAGUCUGGUUUUUAUGUUUCCGAAGUAUAAAAACCAAUGUGUUUAAAAGAAGGUAUAAGCAGGUACUACUCUUAUUAU
Long non-coding RNA from Helianthus annuus (common sunflower), 1033 nucleotides. RefSeq lists it as uncharacterized. The record is from RefSeq and is a predicted model, not a curated record. The transcript is spliced from 4 exons. Lineage: Eukaryota; Viridiplantae; Streptophyta; Magnoliopsida; Asterales; Asteraceae.